Molecule: ribosomal RNA, 490 nt
Filed under: uncultured bacterium
Lineage: Bacteria
Description: partial 16S ribosomal RNA
Rfam family: Bacterial small subunit ribosomal RNA
Source: RNAcentral
AUUGAACGCUGGCGGCAUGCCUUACACAUGCAAGUCGAACGGCAGCAUGAUCUAGCUUGCUAGAUUGAUGGCGAGUGGCGAACGGGUGAGUAAUACAUCGGAACGUGCCCUGUAGUGGGGGAUAACUAGUCGAAAGAUUAGCUAAUACCGCAUACGACCUGAGGGUGAAAGUGGGGGACCGCAAGGCCUCAUGCUCUAGGAGCGGCCGAUGUCUGAUUAGCUAGUUGGUGAGGUAAAGGCUCACCAAGGCGACGAUCAGUAGCUGGUCUGAGAGGACGAUCAGCCACACUGGGACUGAGACACGGCCCAGACUCCUACGGGAGGCAGCAGUGGGGAAUUUUGGACAAUGGGCGAAAGCCUGAUCCAGCAAUGCCGCGUGUGAGAAGAAGGCCUUCGGGUUGUAAAGCACUUUUGUCCGGAAAGAAAUGGCUCUGGUUAAUACCUGGGGUCGAUGACGGUACCGGAAGAAUAAGGACCGGCUAACUACGUG